Non-coding RNA from Neolamprologus brichardi, 2264 nucleotides. NCBI's taxonomy places the organism in Eukaryota, Metazoa, Chordata, Actinopteri, Cichliformes, Cichlidae. The record is from RefSeq and is a predicted model, not a curated record.
CAUGCCAAGCUGCAGGCAUCAAAGCGUUGUUCAGUAUUUUUAUUUUAUUUCUGUAUUUAUUUUGUAAUUAGACAUUUUUUUUCAAUAUCAUGAUCUAACUUUGAGGCCAUAUUGGCCGGUAAUAGUGAUCAUUACAAAAAUAAAUGUACGUUGUCAUUUUACAAAGUUCUUGUUUCUUUUUAAUAACCAUGUUGUACUUGUUGGUAGACAAGGUCAUGGAGGAUGAACUGGCUGACUACAAUGGAGAUGAUGAGAAUGAAGGGGAGCCUGAAGCAGACAAACAAGCUGAGCUAGCUCAAAUCUAAGGGCACAGCUUGAGAAGGAUGCCGGAUAUCAGAUUGGGGAAACAGGAUCUGCUUUACAUCCACAAUGCUGUACAGGUUCAAGCAGCUCGGGGGAAAAUAAACAUCAAAUAGAAUUCACUGUAUGAAAAACUGGUUAAAAGUAGCUUCCUGGAUGACUUUCUUUAAUCUUUUAAUUUGAUAUUUUCUUAUCAUCUACUAUUUAACUCAAGUCUCAAGACUGUCGACUUGGAAAAACUGAAUACCUGGAAUUCAAACAUUGUAAUGACGUGUUGACUUUCACUUUUUGUCUAGUUUUCAGUGGUUUUAAGGUUUGAAAAGCUGCAACAAGUUUAAAGAUCUGAGUAAUUUCUGUCACAGAAUUGCUCCAUCUGGCCGCCGCUCUACAAGAUUCAACAGCACGUUGAACAAAGCCUUAACUCACUCAUAGAAAUGAUUUUGAGGUCAAGAUAUGCUAAUAAUUAUGUUAGUUCUAAAGCGCCAUUAUCAAACUGUUCGGAGCUACAUUUUCAAUCACAGCGUGUCAUAAUGUCAAACGUGUGAGUUUUAAAUUAUAAUGAAAUGGAAUUGCUGGAAAAUGCUGACACGUAGUACAUUCUUUACCUGAUCAUAGGUUAACAUUUUGACUGUCUUUGGUCUGCGGGGCUAAAUGGACUGUGCAUUAUGUCUGUAAGUCGAAGGGGGGGGGGGGGUGUCUGACAAUUGCUGUUACAUUAUGAAGGGCAUUUCCAUGGAGCGGGGAUGGCGCCUCAAGCUUUAUUUCUCCUGCACUAAUUUGGAAGCAGUUAGGCAAAUGUCAAGUAAUGUUAGCUAGAUGUCAGGUGUAAUUAUAUCCAGAUUAUUUUCUGCCUUUUGUUGUAUGCAGGUUUGUCUGCGCUCUGCUCUCUAUAGAAAAAUUGACUAAAGAGCUGCAAUUAUAGGCAGUGUUAGAAGUGUAAUCACUGUAAUUUUCAUAACACCGUGGUUAUCAUUGCAAGUAUCCCGACGCGUGCAGUGCAAAUUUCUCUUCCUAGGCUACUUUUCAUUUGCCAAUUUGAAUUUUUUUUCUUUCUUUGAGUGGUUAAAGUACAAUAGGUUUCUAACGCAGUGACAUUCAUCUGCCUGGUGUGACGAUGGGUUUGACUGCUGGUGUUAUUCAGCCCACAGAAACUUCUAUUUUCAAUUCAAGCACCUAAAAUAUCCUGUACCAUCGUUUUGUUCUGUUGAUUGUAAAGCACACGAUCUGCCUUUUGGUAGAAAGUGUGCAGCCGCCAAAUUAAUGUGGUCUUCAUUUUACACUUAAAUGCAUUAGCUUCAGUGCAGAAGCACAGACUGAAUAUAUGUGGAGGAAUGUAUGACCUGUAGUUGUUUCUCAAGCUCUGAAGCACACACAGGUAAACUAAAAGCUUCUCGGAUACAACAACAUUGUCCAUAGAUGGAGUUUGUCUACUCUAUAAUUUUCCGUCUAAAAUCAGUUACAUGAUUUCUUGAAAUGACUGAAAUAUUAAAAAAAAAAAAAAGUGUCAUUAUGAAAUUCUUGACCUAAUCAGAAGGUGCAGAGCUUGGGAAGCAACUGUUCAUUUCAAAUUCUAGAUCAAAUAGCUUUGAUCCUUUUAGCAACAUGGACUAAGAGAUGAUAGUCGAUAGGCAGCAGCACUAUCUCAUGCUUGAACAUAAGUCAACAUCACUCCUGCAGCAGCACUCCUCAAAACUAAUCAAUGCAAUUUUGCUGCCUUGUUGUCUCCCUUUUGGCCCAUCUGCAGGGAACUUACGUUACAGAUUUUUUAUUUUUUUUUGAUUGUGUUAUUAUAUUUAUGUUUUUUAUUGUUUGUUUCAGCGUCUAACUUUGCAAUCCUUGAUAACUACUGCAUUGUUUUCAGGAAGUUUUGUUUACUGAACUCAAAAGUAUGUGUAGCCUGAGAGAGAAUGUUUUAUGAUUUUUAUUAAUUAGAUUAACUUUUAUUAAAAUUUGAUUUGUUGGAA